GUAUCAUCAUCUCCCCUCUUCUUCUUUUCUUUGAACACAUCUGCAUCAAUGCCCUGCAGGUGUGAGCGUGUGCCACACAUGGGCAGGUGUUGAAGAGUUCAGCGAUCAGAUGCUACAUGCAUAGAAGCUUAUACGUGCACUGGCCUGCAUAUCAGCCCAGACUACAUUAAUGCUUGGAUAAUUAGUAUCCCAGCCUCUUGUCGCUCACCUCGCACCUUCCCGUAUAGGGCUUGGCCUGUUCAAACACCAUUAACUGUUAGAAGUUAGCUGGAUUUGAUAUGUACAGUACAAAUUUUAAUGCAACAAGUUGGAAAUCAAUGCUGAAGUAUCUUUAGAUGGAUUUAUAUCCAUCAUAUUCUUGAUUUUAUUGCCCUUAUUGGAGUCCUUAUAACAUAUAAAAAAACUGAAUUCAAGAGAAUUAACAAUUAAUUCAAGAUACAUUUUCUAAAACCAAGUAUUAUCUUGCAGAAUUUUGCUUGUUUUAAUGAUGUUUGGAUAUUUUAUUGGAAAACAGGACAAAACCAAGGUUUAUGCAGUGUAUUACCCUCAUUGGAAUGAAGGAGGGGAGGAGCCAGGCUCUGUAGCUGAGGUGUCCUACUAUUCUUACGAGUAUGACCCAGACACUGACAGCUUUUCACCAGAGAGUGAGGAGAAGAUAAUUCCUAUAGGAGAAGAAGAGGAGGCGGCAGACACCAAACAAUUGGGUGGACAUAUCCUCACAGUGGACACAAAGGACUCACCUGAGCGAUGAGACCCCUGUCCGUCAGCAGCAAGUGCGGGAGCUCCACAUUGUACAUUCUCUGUGAAUAUGUUUGUGUGUAAGAAAGGCUGGUAAAGAGCGGUGGACCCAGUCUGUUGCAACGAGAUGACAGCUGUAUGUGUGUGUUUGGAAAGAGAGAUAAUAUCAGUUCUCCUCUCUUUUAUUUUUUAAAAUUCAUUUCCAUAGCUCUUUACGUUUAGUGAUGGUAUGAUGUCUCCCUGUAUUCCUCUUAAGUCAGUUUCUUGUAAUCUAGUUUUAAUAGUCUAGUAUUUAUGUUUGUAAGUAUAAUUUACCUAAAAAUCAAAUACUGUGUUUUUGUUUUCUAUCUGUGGUAUUUAUUUGUGGCUAGUGCCUUUGUUUGUUCGGUUAUUUUUUAUUUUUUGUCAAUUCCUCAGUCAGCUCCUCCCUUCUUUCUGAACACAAUCUACUGGUGUGGUUUUACAACCCGUUAAAAUGUGCUGUAAUGGACCGUGCACUUCCAGAGCAGAAAAAACGCACAAAAUUGUGUGUAAGGUGUGUAGCUACUAUUUUGACUUAUUGACAUCUGACUUACUCAUUGGAGAGGAGACUGCAACUGGUAAAUAAGCUUCUUUCCCAGUCACCCUAUGUUAAAUUAGUCUGCGUCACAGAAAAUAAACUCUCUUACACAAACUGGAAUAUGAUUUGUACAGAAUAUAAGCUAUUUUGACUAAACCUCCAUGCAAAAUGAAAAUCGGCAGGCCCAUAUGAAAUCUGCACUUUUAAACAGAAUGCCUCUAAUGUGAUUAUUCAAGUUCACUGAAUAAUUUGGUUUAAUUUAAUGAUGCGUUAAGGUACCAAUAAGAGUUUAUUACUCUCAAGGCCCAUGUAACAAACUUUACUGUAUUUAAAUUCCCCUAAAAUAAAUGCAGAAAAAUGCAGAUAUGCAAAGUGGCCUAUGUGACAUUUGAAAAUUACUGUAAAUUUGAAUGAACUUAAAAUGAAUUUAACCUUCAAUGAUAUCACAUUUGGAAGAAAGUCAAUGAGAAUAAACUUUGUAUGCAAU
Long non-coding RNA from Cyprinus carpio carpio, 1784 nucleotides. The record is from Ensembl. NCBI's taxonomy places the organism in Eukaryota, Metazoa, Chordata, Actinopteri, Cypriniformes, Cyprinidae.